GGGUCGGCAGUCACCCAGGCGUCACCGCCCCGCGAGGGGAGCUAAACCUGCCU
Methylobacterium tarhaniae is the source of this 53-nucleotide non-coding RNA. The record is from Rfam. Lineage: Bacteria; Pseudomonadati; Pseudomonadota; Alphaproteobacteria; Hyphomicrobiales; Methylobacteriaceae.